RNAcentral lists this non-coding RNA (185 nucleotides) under Streptomyces cyaneogriseus. The record is from RNAcentral. RNAcentral also lists the same sequence under 1 other name. Lineage: Bacteria; Bacillati; Actinomycetota; Actinomycetes; Kitasatosporales; Streptomycetaceae.
CUACUGUCGCCACGCCUUGGUGAACGGGAAAUCCGGUGCGAAACCGGUGCGGCCCUCGCCACUGUGAUCGGGAAGUCCGGCUUCGGCCCUCAGGGGCAGCCACUGGGUCCUCGCGGACCCGGGAAGGCGGAGCACGGGCGGUGUCACCCGUCAGCCAGGAGACCGGCCAGGGUGUGUCGUCCAUC